UUGAAGCCACCAACCUUACUUCUCAACCCCACACGGGUUCAAAGAAGGGAUCUUCAUCAAAUCCAUCUCCAUGAGCGACGACUUCUCACCAAACGCCUCUAGAAACAACUAUUCACAACCAAAGUACUCCAUCAAACCAAGUCCCUUCUGAGUCUAGAUGUGAUUGGUCCAAUUUACCUUAAGGCUAAGUUUGAGAUCCUAGAGAAGAAGCUCGUUGAUAUGAUGGUUACAGAGGUACAAGCAAAGUCGGUCCACGAAAAUGAGGUAGAAUCCAAAGCCAAUUAUGGGUAAAAGCCCAAGACAACAGUUAUUAGUAGUGACUCCUCAUCCCUCACAGGGAGAGACGAUACCUCAGGAGCCGUCAAGAUGAGGAACUUCUGGUCAAAAGGCAAAGUCCACCAAGAGUCAUGACCGUUCCUUUUCUUUCUCAAGUCG
Molecule: long non-coding RNA, 435 nt
Filed under: Panax ginseng (ginseng)
Lineage: Eukaryota; Viridiplantae; Streptophyta; Magnoliopsida; Apiales; Araliaceae
Description: long non-coding RNA (PGIN_LNC011625)
Source: RNAcentral